This 500-nucleotide ribosomal RNA is filed under the name uncultured bacterium. RNAcentral describes it as "bacterial SSU rRNA". It matches the Rfam family "Bacterial small subunit ribosomal RNA", at positions 15 to 507 of the family's 1533-position model. The record is from RNAcentral.
GAUCAUGGCUCAGAGUGAACGCUGGCGGCAGGCCUAAUACAUGCAAGUCGAACGGCAGCACAGCAGAGCUUGCUCUGUGGUGGCGAGUGGCGGACGGCGAGGAAUACGUGGGAAUCUGCCCAGUCGUGGGGGAUAACGUAGGGAAACUUACGCUAAUACCGCAUGCGCCCUUCGGGGGAAAGCCGGGGACCUUCGGGCCUGGCGCGAUUGGAUGAGCCCACGUCGGAUUAGCUAGUUGGCGGGUAAAGGCCCACCAAGGCGACGAUCCGUAGCUGGUCUGAGAGGAUGAUCAGCCACACUGGAACUGAGACACGGUCCAGACUCCUACGGGAGGCGGCAGUAGGGAAUAUUGGACAAUGGGCGCAAGCCUGAUCCAGCCAUGCCGCGUGAGUGAAGAAGGCCCUCGGGUUGUAGAGCUCUUUUGUCCGGAAAGAAAAGCGCCGGGUUGAUACCCUGGUGUCCUGACGGUACCGGAAGAAUAAGCACCGGCUAACUUCGUG